Molecule: ribosomal RNA, 457 nt
Filed under: uncultured Comamonadaceae bacterium
Lineage: Bacteria; Pseudomonadati; Pseudomonadota; Betaproteobacteria; Burkholderiales; Comamonadaceae
Description: bacterial SSU rRNA
Rfam family: Bacterial small subunit ribosomal RNA
Source: RNAcentral
CGGGUCGCAGCAGUGGGGAAUUUUGGACAAUGGGCGAAAGCCUGAUCCAGCAAUGCCGCGUGCAGGAAGAAGGCCUUCGGGUUGUAAACUGCUUUUGUCAGGGAAGAAAUCCCUUGGGAUAAUACCCCGGGGGGAUGACGGUACCUGAAGAAUAAGCACCGGCUAACUACGUGCCAGCAGCCGCGGUAAUACGUAGGGUGCGAGCGUUAAUCGGAAUUACUGGGCGUAAAGCGUGCGCAGGCGGCUUUGCAAGACAGAUGUGAAAUCCCCGGGCUCAACCUGGGAACUGCAUUUGUGACUGCAAGGCUAGAGUACGGUAGAGGGGGAUGGAAUUCCGCGUGUAGCAGUGAAAUGCGUAGAUAUGCGGAGGAACACCAAUGGCGAAGGCAAUCCCCUGGACCUGUACUGACGCUCAUGCACGAAAGCGUGGGGAGCAAACAGGAUUAGAUACCCCAGU